This 581-nucleotide ribosomal RNA is filed under the name uncultured bacterium. RNAcentral's name for it is "partial 16S ribosomal RNA". It matches the Rfam family "Bacterial small subunit ribosomal RNA", at positions 355 to 932 of the family's 1533-position model. The record is from RNAcentral.
UGGGGAAUAUUGCACAAUGGGCGCAAGCCUGAUGCAGCCAUGCCGCGUGUGUGAAGAAGGCCUUCGGGUUGUAAAGCACUUUCAGCGAGGAGGAAGGUGGUGAACUUAAUACGUUCAUCAAUUGACGUUACUCGCAGAAGAAGCACCGGCUAACUCCGUGCCAGCAGCCGCGGUAAUACGGAGGGUGCAAGCGUUAAUCGGAAUUACUGGGCGUAAAGCGCACGCAGGCGGUUUGUUAAGUCAGAUGUGAAAUCCCCGGGCUCAACCUGAGAACUGCAUUUGAAACUGGCAAGCUAGAGUCUCGUAGAGGGGGGUAGAAUUCCAGGUGUAGCGGUGAAAUGCGUAGAGAUCUGGAGGAAUACCGGUGGCGAAGGCGGCCCCCUGGACGAAGACUGACGCUCAGGUGCGAAAGCGUGGGGCAGCAAACAGGAUUAGAUACCCUGGUAGUCCACGCUGUAAACGAUGUCGAUUUUGGAGGUUGUGCCCUUGAGGCGUGGCUUCCGGAGCUAACGCGUAAAUCGACCGCCUGGGGAGUACGGCCGCAAGGUUAAAACUUAAAGGAAUUGACGGGGUCAUAGCUG